This 465-nucleotide ribosomal RNA is filed under the name uncultured bacterium. Its description in RNAcentral is "partial 16S ribosomal RNA". It matches the Rfam family "Bacterial small subunit ribosomal RNA", at positions 338 to 795 of the family's 1533-position model. The record is from RNAcentral.
CCUACGGGAGGCAGCAGUAGGGAAUCUUCCACAAUGGACGAAAGUCUGAUGGAGCAACGCCGCGUGAGUGAAGAAGGGUUUCGGCUCGUAAAGCUCUGUUGUUAGUGAAGAAAGAUAGUGGUAGUAACUGGCCUUUAUUUGACGGUAAUUUCUUAGUAAGUUACGGCCAACUACGUGCCAGCAGCCGGGGUAAUACGUCGGUGGUAAGCGUUGUCCGGUUUUAUUGGGUGUAAGGGGAGCGCAGGCGGAUCACUAGGUCUGAUGUGAAUGCCUUCGGCUCAACCGGAGAAUUGCCUCAGAAACUGUUGAACUGGAGUGCGGAAGAGGAGGGAGGAACGCCAGGUGUAGCGGUGGAAUGCGUAGAUAUAUGGAAGAACACCGGUGGCGAAGGCGGCUCUCUGGUCUGCAACUGACGCUGAGGCUCGAAAGCAUGGGUAGCGAACAGGAUUAGAUACCCGUGUAGUC